Molecule: ribosomal RNA, 2673 nt
Filed under: Escherichia coli
Lineage: Bacteria; Pseudomonadati; Pseudomonadota; Gammaproteobacteria; Enterobacterales; Enterobacteriaceae
Description: partial 23S ribosomal RNA
Rfam family: Bacterial large subunit ribosomal RNA
Source: RNAcentral
CGAGCGAACGGGGAGCAGCCCAGAGCCUGAAUCAGUGUGUGUGUUAGUGGAAGCGUCUGGAAAGGCGCGCGAUACAGGGUGACAGCCCCGUACACAAAAAUGCACAUGCUGUGAGCUCGAUGAGUAGGGCGGGACACGUGGUAUCCUGUCUGAAUAUGGGGGGACCAUCCUCCAAGGCUAAAUACUCCUGACUGACCGAUAGUGAACCAGUACCGUGAGGGAAAGGCGAAAAGAACCCCGGCGAGGGGAGUGAAAAAGAACCUGAAACCGUGUACGUACAAGCAGUGGGAGCACGCUUAGGCGUGUGACUGCGUACCUUUUGUAUAAUGGGUCAGCGACUUAUAUUCUGUAGCAAGGUUAACCGAAUAGGGGAGCCGAAGGGAAACCGAGUCUUAACUGGGCGUUAAGUUGCAGGGUAUAGACCCGAAACCCGGUGAUCUAGCCAUGGGCAGGUUGAAGGUUGGGUAACACUAACUGGAGGACCGAACCGACUAAUGUUGAAAAAUUAGCGGAUGACUUGUGGCUGGGGGUGAAAGGCCAAUCAAACCGGGAGAUAGCUGGUUCUCCCCGAAAGCUAUUUAGGUAGCGCCUCGUGAAUUCAUCUCCGGGGGUAGAGCACUGUUUCGGCAAGGGGGUCAUCCCGACUUACCAACCCGAUGCAAACUGCGAAUACCGGAGAAUGUUAUCACGGGAGACACACGGCGGGUGCUAACGUCCGUCGUGAAGAGGGAAACAACCCAGACCGCCAGCUAAGGUCCCAAAGUCAUGGUUAAGUGGGAAACGAUGUGGGAAGGCCCAGACAGCCAGGAUGUUGGCUUAGAAGCAGCCAUCAUUUAAAGAAAGCGUAAUAGCUCACUGGUCGAGUCGGCCUGCGCGGAAGAUGUAACGGGGCUAAACCAUGCACCGAAGCUGCGGCAGCGACACUGUGUGUUGUUGGGUAGGGGAGCGUUCUGUAAGCCUGCGAAGGUGUGCUGUGAGGCAUGCUGGAGGUAUCAGAAGUGCGAAUGCUGACAUAAGUAACGAUAAAGCGGGUGAAAAGCCCGCUCGCCGGAAGACCAAGGGUUCCUGUCCAACGUUAAUCGGGGCAGGGUGAGUCGACCCCUAAGGCGAGGCCGAAAGGCGUAGUCGAUGGGAAACAGGUUAAUAUUCCUGUACUUGGUGUUACUGCGAAGGGGGGACGGAGAAGGCUAUGUUGGCCGGGCGACGGUUGUCCCGGUUUAAGCGUGUAGGCUGGUUUUCCAGGCAAAUCCGGAAAAUCAAGGCUGAGGCGUGAUGACGAGGCACUACGGUGCUGAAGCAACAAAUGCCCUGCUUCCAGGAAAAGCCUCUAAGCAUCAGGUAACAUCAAAUCGUACCCCAAACCGACACAGGUGGUCAGGUAGAGAAUACCAAGGCGCUUGAGAGAACUCGGGUGAAGGAACUAGGCAAAAUGGUGCCGUAACUUCGGGAGAAGGCACGCUGAUAUGUAGGUGAAGUCCCUCGCGGAUGGAGCUGAAAUCAGUCGAAGAUACCAGCUGGCUGCAACUGUUUAUUAAAAACACAGCACUGUGCAAACACGAAAGUGGACGUAUACGGUGUGACGCCUGCCCGGUGCCGGAAGGUUAAUUGAUGGGGUCAGCGCAAGCGAAGCUCUUGAUCGAAGCCCCGGUAAACGGCGGCCGUAACUAUAACGGUCCUAAGGUAGCGAAAUUCCUUGUCGGGUAAGUUCCGACCUGCACGAAUGGCGUAAUGAUGGCCAGGCUGUCUCCACCCGAGACUCAGUGAAAUUGAACUCGCUGUGAAGAUGCAGUGUACCCGCGGCAAGACGGAAAGACCCCGUGAACCUUUACUAUAGCUUGACACUGAACAUUGAGCCUUGAUGUGUAGGAUAGGUGGGAGGCUUUGAAGUGUGGACGCCAGUCUGCAUGGAGCCGACCUUGAAAUACCACCCUUUAAUGUUUGAUGUUCUAACGUUGACCCGUGAUCCGGGUUGCGGACAGUGUCUGGUGGGUAGUUUGACUGGGGCGGUCUCCUCCUAAAGAGUAACGGAGGAGCACGAAGGUUGGCUAAUCCUGGUCGGACAUCAGGAGGUUAGUGCAAUGGCAUAAGCCAGCUUGACUGCGAGCGUGACGGCGCGAGCAGGUGCGAAAGCAGGUCAUAGUGAUCCGGUGGUUCUGAAUGGAAGGGCCAUCGCUCAACGGAUAAAAGGUACUCCGGGGAUAACAGGCUGAUACCGCCCAAGAGUUCAUAUCGACGGCGGUGUUUGGCACCUCGAUGUCGGCUCAUCACAUCCUGGGGCUGAAGUAGGUCCCAAGGGUAUGGCUGUUCGCCAUUUAAAGUGGUACGCGAGCUGGGUUUAGAACGUCGUGAGACAGUUCGGUCCCUAUCUGCCGUGGGCGCUGGAGAACUGAGGGGGGCUGCUCCUAGUACGAGAGGACCGGAGUGGACGCAUCACUGGUGUUCGGGUUGUCAUGCCAAUGGCACUGCCCGGUAGCUAAAUGCGGAAGAGAUAAGUGCUGAAAGCAUCUAAGCACGAAACUUGCCCCGAGAUGAGUUCUCCCUGACUCCUUGAGAGUCCUGAAGGAACGUUGAAGACGACGACGUUGAUAGGCCGGGUGUGUAAGCGCAGCGAUGCGUUGAGCUAACCGGUACUAAUGAACCGUGAGGCUUAACCUUACAACGCCGAAGGUGUUU